This 465-nucleotide ribosomal RNA is filed under the name uncultured bacterium. RNAcentral's name for it is "partial 16S ribosomal RNA". It matches the Rfam family "Bacterial small subunit ribosomal RNA", at positions 29 to 507 of the family's 1533-position model. The record is from RNAcentral.
ACGAACGCUGGCGGCGUGCUUAACCCCUGCAAGUCGAACGGAAAGGCCCUGCUUGCAGGGUACUCGAGUGGCGAACGGGUGAGUAACACGUGGGUGAUCUGCCCUGCACUUCGGGAUAAGCUUGGGAAACUGGGUCUAAUACCGGAUAGGAGCCAUCUUUAGUGUGGUGGUUGGAAAGUUUUUUCGGUGUAGGAUGAGCUCGCGGCCUAUCAGCUUGUUGGUGGGGUAAUGGCCUACCAAGGCGGCGACGGGUAGCCGGCCUGAGAGGGUGUACGGCCACAUUGGGACUGAGAUACGGCCCAGACUCCUACGGGAGGCAGCAGUGGGGAAUAUUGCACAAUGGGCGCAAGCCUGAUGCAGCGACGCCGCGUGGGGGAUGAAGGCCUUCGGGUUGUAAACUCCUUUCGCUAGGGACGAAGCUUUUUUGUGACGGUACCUAGAUAAGAAGCACCGGCUAACUACGUG